GACGAAGGAUGCAAGCGUUAUCCGGAUUCAUUGGGUUUAAAGGGAGCGUAGGCGGACUUGUAAGUCAGUGGUGAAAUCUUUGGGCUUAACCCAGAAACUGCCAUUGAUACUGCAAGUCUAGAGUACAGUUGCCGUUGGCGGAAUAUGACAUGUAGUGGUGAAAUACUUAGAUAUGUCAUAGAACACCGAUUGCGAAGGCAGCUAACGAAGCUGUAACUGACGCUGAGGCUCGAAAGUGCGGGGAUCAAACAGG
This 253-nucleotide ribosomal RNA is filed under the name uncultured bacterium. RNAcentral describes it as "partial 16S ribosomal RNA". It matches the Rfam family "Bacterial small subunit ribosomal RNA", at positions 524 to 776 of the family's 1533-position model. The record is from RNAcentral.